UUCCUUUCCUGUGUCAUUUGCCGUUCUCAGAUGCACUAAGGCUGACUUCUAAUUAAAUGUCACUGUGUAAUUGUACUCAUUAGUUUUCUUUUGUCCUAUGUGAGUCACUACUCUGAAGAACACUGAGGUAUGCCUUCCAGAUCAAAGACUUUCCACAUUUAUAACAUUCAUGGGGUUUCUCCCCCAUGUGUUUUUUGAGUGAAAUAUUAGGCC
Perognathus longimembris pacificus (Pacific pocket mouse) is the source of this 213-nucleotide long non-coding RNA. RefSeq lists it as uncharacterized. The transcript is spliced from 4 exons. The record is from RefSeq and is a predicted model, not a curated record. NCBI's taxonomy places the organism in Eukaryota, Metazoa, Chordata, Mammalia, Rodentia, Heteromyidae.